UGGGGAAUAUUGCACAAUGGGCGCAAGCCUGAUGCAGCCAUGCCGCGUGUAUGAAGAAGGCCUUCGGGUUGUAAAGUACUUUCAGCGGGGAGGAAGGGAGUAAAGUUAAUACCUUUGCUCAUUGACGUUACCCGCAGAAGAACCACCGGCUAACUCCGUGCCAGCAGCCGCGGUAAUACGGAGGGUGCAAGCGUUAAUCGGAAUUACUGGGCGUAAAGCGCACGCAGGCGGUCUGUCAAGUCGGAUGUGAAAUCCCCGGGCUUAACCCGGGAAUUGCAUCUGAUACUGGUCAGCUAGAGUCUUGUAGAGGGGGGUAGAAUUCCAUGUGUAGCGGUGAAAUGCGUAGAGAUGUGGAGGAAUACCGGUGGCGAAGGCGGCCCCCUGGACAAAGACUGACGCUCAGGUGCGAAAGCGUGGGGAGCAAACAGG
This 429-nucleotide ribosomal RNA is filed under the name Chloroflexota bacterium. RNAcentral's name for it is "Chloroflexi bacterium partial 16S ribosomal RNA". It matches the Rfam family "Bacterial small subunit ribosomal RNA", at positions 355 to 776 of the family's 1533-position model. Lineage: Bacteria; Bacillati; Chloroflexota. The record is from RNAcentral.